UGUAAAAUUUUAAAGGUCGAACAGACCUAAAAUUCUAGCUUCUACACCAAAAUUUAAUUUUAAUCCAACAUCGAGGUCGCAAACUUUUUUAUCGAUAAGAACUCUCCAAAAAAAAUUACGCUGUUAUCCCUAAGGUAAUUUAGUCUUAUAAUCCAAAUAAUAGGAUCAAAUAUUCAUAAAUAAAUGUUACAAACAAAAAAAAGUUUAUCAAAUUUUUCCAUCGCCCCAACGAAAUAUUUAAUUAAAAAUAAAAGAAUAAAUUCAAUAACCAAUAAAUUCAACCAAAUAUAAAACUCUAUAGGGUCUUCUCGUCUUUAUAAAAAAUUUAAGCUUUUUCACUUAAAAUUGAAGUUCUAAACCAUUUAUAUAGAGACAGUUAUUUUCUCAUCAAACCUUUCAUUCCAGCUUUCAAUCAAAAAACUAAUGAUUAUGCUACCUUUGCACAGUCAAAAUACUGCGGCCAUUCAAAAAUCAUUGGGCAGGCCAGACUUUAAAUCAAAAUCAAAAAGAC
This 511-nucleotide ribosomal RNA is filed under the name Pimelia radula granulata. RNAcentral's name for it is "partial 16S ribosomal RNA". Lineage: Eukaryota; Metazoa; Arthropoda; Insecta; Coleoptera; Tenebrionidae. The record is from RNAcentral.